This 68-nucleotide transfer RNA is filed under the name Paropaon sp. OR337. RNAcentral's name for it is "tRNA-Gln". The record is from RNAcentral. Lineage: Eukaryota; Metazoa; Arthropoda; Insecta; Orthoptera; Acrididae.
ACAUUAAAGUGUAUGAUGCACAUUAGUUUUUGAUACUAAAAGAAUUAGUUUGAUUCUAUUUUAUGUAG